This is a non-coding RNA of Salmo salar (Atlantic salmon), 164 nucleotides long. The record is from Rfam. NCBI's taxonomy places the organism in Eukaryota, Metazoa, Chordata, Actinopteri, Salmoniformes, Salmonidae.
AUACUUACCUGGCAAGGGAGAUACCGUGAUCAAGAAGGCGGUUCACCCAGGGCGAGGCUCAGCCAUUGCACUCCGGCUGUGCUGACCCCUGCGAAUUUCCCAAAUGUGGAAAUCUCGGUUGCAUAAUUUAUGGUAUUGGGGGACUGCGUUCGCGCUCUCCCCUG